Molecule: ribosomal RNA, 545 nt
Filed under: uncultured bacterium
Lineage: Bacteria
Description: bacterial SSU rRNA
Rfam family: Bacterial small subunit ribosomal RNA
Source: RNAcentral
AAUAGAUACCCGGGUAGUCCACCCGUAAACGUUGGGAACUAGUUGUGGGGUCCUUUCCACGGAUUCCGUGACGCAGCUAACGCAUUAAGUUCCCCGCCUGGGGAGUACGGCCGCAAGGCUAAAACUCAAAGGAAUUGACGGGGACCCGCACAAGCGGCGGAGCAUGCGGAUUAAUUCGAUGCAACGCGAAGAACCUUACCAAGGCUUGACAUACACCAGAACACCCUAGAAAUAGGGGACUCUUUGGACACUGGUGAACAGGUGGUGCAUGGUUGUCGUCAGCUCGUGUCGUGAGAUGUUGGGUUAAGUCCCGCAACGAGCGCAACCCUCGUUCUAUGUUGCCAGCACGUAAUGGUGGGAACUCAUGGGAUACUGCCGGGGUCAACUCGGAGGAAGGUGGGGAUGACGUCAAAUCAUCAUGCCCCUUAUGUCUUGGGCUUCACGCAUGCUACAAUGGCCGGUACAAAGGGCUGCAAUACCGUGAGGUGGAGCGAAUCCCAAAAAGCCGGUCCAGUUCGGAUUGAGGUCUGCAACUCGACCUCAUG